CAGUUUUACUUUUUGGGAUUUUAUUGCCUGCUAAUGUGGUCCUCUGGAGGAUCUAUAAAACAUUACUGGGCAGAUUAUUCAGUUGGUAAUAUAACUAAUUUCUUGAACUGGCAGGGAUAUAUACAUCAUGUACAGAAAACAAAUAUGAGGAGAUAAAAAAUUCAAAAUGUCAGAACCAUUGGGGAAAUUAGGUUAAAAUUUGGCUUUUUGGAACCUUAAAUGUAGGAUUACCAUAAGGGUUACAUAAAAUAUCUUAUAAUAGUCUAUUUUAACUGACCAUGCUUUUCAUGCCUUAGUAUGUCUGCACAACUUCUGGGAUCUUUCCAAAGUACAGAUUCUGAUUCAGAAAGUCUGUGGUGGGACCUGAGAUUCUGAACAUCUUAAUGAGCUUCCAGGUGCUGCUAGUCUCUGCACAUUGAGUCACAAGGUGUAUUAUCUAAAGAGUUACACUCACACAGGAAUUAUAGAGAAUUGUGUUGAUAAGUACAGCCAAGAUAGAGAUAUAGUGGGCAAGCCAUCUGGGAACAUGCAUUCAUGUCACACUGCCUACUUGCUUAGAAUCUGAAAAAACCACAUUGCCUACAACAAUUAAGAAACCUGGGCCGGGCAUGGUGGCUCACGCCUGUAAUCGCAACACUUUGGGAGGCCGAGGCAGGCAGAUCACAAGGUCAGGAGUUCAAGACCAGCCUGGCCAACAUGGUGAAACCCCGUCUUUACUAAAAAUACAAAAAUUAGCCAGGCAUGGUGGUAGGCCCCUAUAAUCCCAGCUACUCAGGAGGCUGAGUCAGGGGAAUUGUUUGAACCUGAGAGGCAGAGGUUGUGGUGAGCCAAGUUCGUGCAAUUGCACUCCAGCCUGGGCAGCAAGAGCAAAAUUCUGUCUCAAAAAAAACCUGGGCCCAAGUAUAUCAUGGUAUACAAGACUGCUGGAGUUAACAGAGCCUUUUCCCUCAGAAUUCUGGUGAUUAUAUAUAAAGUUUUUUUUACACGUUUUUGAUGUUUUAUAAAUAAUAUGCUAUGUCAAUUGAGAAAGGAGAAUAUUCUCUGGGAUUUUGCCCCGAGCACCAAUCAGGUUAGAAAGUGCCGUUGCUGCUGUUCUCAUGGGCACUGUU
This 1109-nucleotide long non-coding RNA is filed under the name Pan troglodytes (chimpanzee). RNAcentral describes it as "long non-coding RNA NONPTRT013030". Lineage: Eukaryota; Metazoa; Chordata; Mammalia; Primates; Hominidae. The record is from RNAcentral.